RNAcentral lists this ribosomal RNA (240 nucleotides) under uncultured bacterium. RNAcentral's name for it is "partial 16S ribosomal RNA". It matches the Rfam family "Bacterial small subunit ribosomal RNA", at positions 524 to 776 of the family's 1533-position model. The record is from RNAcentral.
UACGAAGGGGCUAGCGUUGCUCGGAAUUACUGGGCGUAAAGCGCACGUAGGCGGUCUUUAAGUCGGGGUGAAUCCUGGAGCUCAACUCCAGAACUGCCUUCGAUACUGGAAGACUUGAGUCCGGAGAGGUGAGUGGAACUGCGAGUGUAGAGGUGAAUUCGUAGAUAUUCGCAAGAACACCAGUGGCGAAGCGGCUCACUGGCCGGUACUGACGCUGAGUGCGAAGCGUGGAGCAACAGG